This 253-nucleotide ribosomal RNA is filed under the name uncultured bacterium. RNAcentral describes it as "partial 16S ribosomal RNA". It matches the Rfam family "Bacterial small subunit ribosomal RNA", at positions 524 to 776 of the family's 1533-position model. The record is from RNAcentral.
UACGUAGGGUCCGAGCGUUGUCCGGAAUUAUUGGGCGUAAAGAGCUCGUAGGCGGUUUGUCGCGUCUGCCGUGAAAGUCCGGGGCUCAACUCCGGAUCUGCGGUGGGUACGGGCAGACUAGAGUGAUGUAGGGGAGACUGGAAUUCCUGGUGUAGCGGUGAAAUGCGCAGAUAUCAGGAGGAACACCGAUGGCGAAGGCAGUUCUCUGGGCCGUAACUGACGCUGAGGAGCGAAAGCGUGGGGAGCGAACAGG